CAAUCCAGUCCGUUAAGGGUCCCGCGGGAAGAUUCCUGCCUGGUCAGACGGAGGGGUGGAUGUCUGUCCAAGAGGCGCACAUGUCAGGAGUGCCUGAGGUGAUAGGGAGGAGAUGACCUUUGUGCAGAAGGUGGUGGUGACUGUGGGGGAGAUUUCCCUGAGUAGACUGUGCGUUGAGAUGGCAAAAGCCCCAAAAUAGAAGCAACUGCUACCCCUAAGUAAGGGCAAGCUAACUGCGACAGUCAUCCAUGCUCAGUGGAUUUUGCAUGAGCAAGAAGAGGACGCAUCUGGCCCGAGACUGACCCAAGACAGGAGGCUGUUUGGAACUGGAUUCCUGCUCUCCUGGAAAAGAGAGCCGGUGUCAAAACCCAGUCAGGGCUCACUGUUCCCAAGACUCUUAGGAACCUACAGCAAGCUUUGGGCUUGAUUGCAGGAGAAAAGCAUAGAGGGGAGAAAAAGCAA
This is a long non-coding RNA of Hyaena hyaena (striped hyena), 462 nucleotides long. RefSeq lists it as uncharacterized. The record is from RefSeq and is a predicted model, not a curated record. Lineage: Eukaryota; Metazoa; Chordata; Mammalia; Carnivora; Hyaenidae. The transcript is spliced from 3 exons.